Molecule: ribosomal RNA, 253 nt
Filed under: uncultured bacterium
Lineage: Bacteria
Description: partial 16S ribosomal RNA
Rfam family: Bacterial small subunit ribosomal RNA
Source: RNAcentral
UACGGAGGGUGCGAGCGUUAAUCGGAAUUACUGGGCGUAAAGCGCACGUAGGCGGUCAGGCAAGUCGGGUGUGAAAGCCCUGGGCUCAACCUGGGAAUUGCAUUCGAAACUAUCUGACUCGAGUAUGGGAGAGGGAAGCGGAAUUUCCGGUGUAGCGGUGAAAUGCGUAGAUAUCGGAAGGAACACCAGUGGCGAGGGCGGCUUCCUGGACUAAUACUGACGCUGAGGUGCGAAAGCGUGGGGAGCAAACAGG